AGUGAACGCUGGCGGUGGGCCUAACACAUGCAAGUCGAACGGCAGCACAGUAAGAGCUUGCUCUUACGGGUGGCGAGUGGCGGACGGGUGAGGAAUACAUCGGAAUCUACUUUUUCGUGGGGGAUAACGUAGGGAAACUUACGCUAAUACCGCAUACGACCUACGGGUGAAAGCAGGGGAUCUUCGGACCUUGCGCGAUUGAAUGAGCCGAUGUCGGAUUAGCUAGUUGGCGGGGUAAAGGCCCACCAAGGCGACGAUCCGUAGCUGGUCUGAGAGGAUGAUCAGCCACACUGGAACUGGGACACGGUCCAGACUCCUACGGGAGGCAGCAGUGGGGAAUAUUGGACAAUGGGCGCAAGCCUGAUCCAGCCAUACCGCGUGGGUGAAGAAGGCCUUCGGGUUGUAAAGCCCUUUUGUUGGGAAAGAAAAGCAGCAGGUUAAUACCCCGCUGUUCUGACGGUACCCAAAGAAUAAGCACCGGCUAACUUCGUG
RNAcentral lists this ribosomal RNA (492 nucleotides) under uncultured bacterium. RNAcentral's name for it is "partial 16S ribosomal RNA". It matches the Rfam family "Bacterial small subunit ribosomal RNA", at positions 29 to 507 of the family's 1533-position model. The record is from RNAcentral.